GGACCAUUAGCUCAAUUGGUCAGAGCAUCGCCCUAUUCAUAUAAAGCGAAGGUCGCGGGUUCGAUCCCCUCAUGGUCCA
Molecule: transfer RNA, 79 nt
Filed under: Mycetomoellerius zeteki
Lineage: Eukaryota; Metazoa; Arthropoda; Insecta; Hymenoptera; Formicidae
Description: Trachymyrmex zeteki tRNA
Rfam family: tRNA
About the family: Transfer RNA (tRNA) molecules are approximately 80 nucleotides in length. Their secondary structure includes four short double-helical elements and three loops (D, anti-codon, and T loops).
Source: Rfam by way of RNAcentral